Molecule: ribosomal RNA, 831 nt
Filed under: Salmonella enterica
Lineage: Bacteria; Pseudomonadati; Pseudomonadota; Gammaproteobacteria; Enterobacterales; Enterobacteriaceae
Also listed under: 1 other name
Description: partial 23S ribosomal RNA
Rfam family: Bacterial large subunit ribosomal RNA
Source: RNAcentral
AGACCCGAAACCCGGUGAUCUAGCCAUGGGCAGGUUGAAGGUUGGGUAACACUAACUGGAGGACCGAACCGACUAAUGUUGAAAAAUUAGCGGAUGACCUGUGGCUGGGGGUGAAAGGCCAAUCAAACCGGGAGAUAGCUGGUUCUCCCCGAAAGCUAUUUAGGUAGCGCCUCGUGAAUUCAUCUCCGGGGGUAGAGCACUGUUUCGGCUAGGGGGCCAUCCCGGCUUACCAACCCGAUGCAAACUGCGAAUACCGGAGAAUGUUAUCACGGGAGACACACGGCGGGUGCUAACGUCCGUCGUGAAGAGGGAAACAACCCAGACCGCCAGCUAAGGUCCCAAAGUCAUGGUUAAGUGGGAAACGAUGUGGGAAGGCCCAGACAGCCAGGAUGUUGGCUUAGAAGCAGCCAUCAUUUAAAGAAAGCGUAAUAGCUCACUGGUCGAGUCGGCCUGCGCGGAAGAUGUAACGGGGCUAAACCAUGCACCGAAGCUGCGGCAGCGACACUCAGGUGUUGUUGGGUAGGGGAGCGUUCUGUAAGCCUGCGAAGGUGGCCUGUGAGGGUUGCUGGAGGUAUCAGAAGUGCGAAUGCUGACAUAAGUAACGAUAAAGCGGGUGAAAAGCCCGCUCGCCGGAAGACCAAGGGUUCCUGUCCAACGUUAAUCGGGGCAGGGUGAGUCGACCCCUAAGGCGAGGCCGAAAGGCGUAGUCGAUGGGAAACGGGUUAAUAUUCCCGUACUUGGUGUUACUGCGAAGGGGGGACGGAGAAGGCUAUGUUGGCCGGGCGACGGUUGUCCCGGUUUAAGCGUGUAGGUGUGUGUUCCAGGUAAAUC